This 497-nucleotide ribosomal RNA is filed under the name uncultured bacterium. RNAcentral's name for it is "partial 16S ribosomal RNA". It matches the Rfam family "Bacterial small subunit ribosomal RNA", at positions 28 to 507 of the family's 1533-position model. The record is from RNAcentral.
GACGAACGCUGGCGGCGUGCCUAAUACAUGCAAGUUGAGCGCUGAAGGUUGGUACUUGUACCAACUGGAUGAGCAGCGAACGGGUGAGUAACGCGUGGGGAAUCUGCCUUUGAGCGGGGGACAACAUUUGGAAACGAAUGCUAAUACCGCAUAAAAACUUUAAACACAAGUUUUAAGUUUGAAAGAUGCAAUUGCAUCACUCAAAGAUGAUCCCGCGUUGUAUUAGCUAGUUGGUGAGGUAAAGGCUCACCAAGGCGAUGAUACAUAGCCGACCUGAGAGGGUGAUCGGCCACAUUGGGACUGAGACACGGCCCAAACUCCUACGGGAGGCAGCAGUAGCGAAUCUUCGGCAAUGGACGAAAGUCUGACCGAGCAACGCCGCGUGAGUGAAGAAGGUUUUCGGAUCGUAAAACUCUGUUGGUAGAGAAGAACGUUGGUGAGAGUGGAAAGCUCAUCAAGUGACGGUAACUACCCAGAAAGGGACGGCUAACUACGUG